GUCUAUGUCCUUUGGCACAGAAUCACAGAGUUGCAGAGAAAAAUAGCAAGGCUGGGGAAGUUUCUGUAAUGUAAAACCUGUGAGGAGUGGCUGAGGGAGCUGGGGUUCUUCCAUCCGGAAAAACAAGGCUCAAGGGAGAGUGACCUUGUUGUUCUGUACAAUUAGAUGACAGAAGGUUGUAGUGAGGCAAUGGUCAGCUUCUUUCUUAGGGAGCUACUGAUAGGACAAAGGAAAAUGGCAUCAAGUUGAACCAGGGAGGUUUAGGUUGAGUAUUAGGAAGGAUUUCUUCACUGAAAGACUGGUAAAGCAUUGGAAGAGGAUCCUGGGGGAGUGGUAGAAUCACCAUCCCAGUGUUUAAGAGUUAUAAAAAAAACAAUGGAUGUGGAACUUUGUAAUGUUUCAGUGGGAAUGGUGGUAUGAAGUCAAAGGAUUACCUGGAGGUCUUUCCCAGCCUUAUUGAUUCUACGAUUCUAUGAAAAGUGCUGAGCCCAAGUGACACCCAGUGACCUGCAAGACAAGCCUUUAUUUUAGAAAUGUAACAUAAACAAAGCUGGAACCUAGAUAAUUCUCUUCCCUUUGCCUUAGAUGCCAGAUUCUGGAAACAGUGAUGUUUUCAAUCCAAAUGAGAAAGAUUGUGCAGGCAAUUGUUUACAGCUUCUGGCCUUGAUGUAUGCACUAUAAAAUGGUGAAAAGAUUAUUAGAUGAAAGCAAUUAUGUUUCCUUCAUAGUCAAUGUACCAUGCUGUCAUUAUUCCUUCUUGGGAAAACGUUUGAACUUUAUGAGAACAUGCUGUGGUUGAAAAUAAUGACCUUGGAUUAAAUAAAGAAAGCAGAGCCCUGUCCA
This 843-nucleotide long non-coding RNA is filed under the name Parus major (Great Tit). Its description in RNAcentral is "lncRNA (ENSPMJG00000014347.1)". The record is from RNAcentral. Lineage: Eukaryota; Metazoa; Chordata; Aves; Passeriformes; Paridae.